RNAcentral lists this transfer-messenger RNA (134 nucleotides) under Candidatus Eiseniibacteriota bacterium. Its description in RNAcentral is "partial transfer-messenger RNA". It matches the Rfam family "transfer-messenger RNA", at positions 1 to 135 of the family's 374-position model. From Rfam's summary of the family: Bacterial tmRNA, also known as 10Sa RNA or SsrA, is named for its dual tRNA and mRNA-like properties. Its role is to liberate the mRNA from a stalled ribosome. Lineage: Bacteria; Candidatus Eiseniibacteriota. The record is from RNAcentral.
GGGGGCGAUCUGGUUUCGACGGGGGUGAGAGAAACGCGGAUGGCAUGUCGAGGUCCCGUUGGCUCGUAAAACAAACGGGGACUUUUCAACUGCCGACUAUUCACCGGCAUACGUCUGCUAACUAGUUCCACUAG